AGUGAACGCUGGCGGCAGGCCUAAUACAUGCAAGUCGAACGGCAGCACAGCAGAGCUUGCUCUGUGGGUGGCGAGUGGCGGACGGGUGAGGAAUACAUGGGAAUCUGCCCAGUCGUGGGGGAUAACGUAGCGAAAGUUACGCUAAUACCGCAUACGCCCCGAGGGGGAAAGUGGGGGACCGCAAGGCCUCACGCUAUAUGAGCGGCCGAUGUCGGAUUAGCUAAUUGGUAGGGUAAAGGCCUACCAAGGCGACGAUCCGUAGCGGGUCUGAGAGGAUGAUCCGCCACACUGGGACUGAGACACGGCCCAGACUCCUACGGGAGGCAGCAGUGGGGAAUUUUGGACAAUGGGCGCAAGCCUGAUCCAGCCAUGCCGCGUGAGUGAAGAAGGC
This 391-nucleotide ribosomal RNA is filed under the name uncultured bacterium. RNAcentral describes it as "bacterial SSU rRNA". It matches the Rfam family "Bacterial small subunit ribosomal RNA", at positions 30 to 415 of the family's 1533-position model. The record is from RNAcentral.